This 440-nucleotide ribosomal RNA is filed under the name uncultured bacterium. Its description in RNAcentral is "partial 16S ribosomal RNA". It matches the Rfam family "Bacterial small subunit ribosomal RNA", at positions 339 to 795 of the family's 1533-position model. The record is from RNAcentral.
CUACGGGGCGCAGCAGUGAGGAAUAUUGCACAAUGGAGGAAACUCUGAUGCAGCAACGCCGCGUGGAGGAUGACGCAUUUCGGUGUGUAAACUCCUUUUAUAUGUCAAGAAAAUGACGGUAGCAUAUGAAUAAGCACCGGCUAACUCCGUGCCAGCAGCCGCGGUAAUACGGAGGGGUGCAAGCGUUACUCGGAAUCACUGGGCGUAAAGGACGCGUAGGCGGGAUAUCAAGUCAGGUGUGAAAUCCUACAGCUUAACUGUAGAACUGCACUUGAAACUGGUAACCUAGAGUAUGGGAGGGGGAGAUGGAAUUAGUGGUGUAGGGGUAAAAUCCGUAGAUAUCACUAGGAAUACCUAAAGCGAAGGCGAUCUCCUGGAACAUAACUGACGCUAAGGCGUGAAAGCGUGGGGAGCAAACAGGAUUAGAUACCCGUGUAGUC